Micropterus dolomieu (smallmouth bass) is the source of this 318-nucleotide long non-coding RNA. RefSeq lists it as uncharacterized. The record is from RefSeq and is a predicted model, not a curated record. The transcript has 4 exons. Lineage: Eukaryota; Metazoa; Chordata; Actinopteri; Centrarchiformes; Centrarchidae.
CUCUAUUGACACAUAAUGCAGCUGUUUUUGGACUGAUAACAGCGAAAAUGACAAAAUGAUUCCUGAUCUGCGUCCUGCCUCCAUCCCUCUCCCACUCAGCCCAAACCUGCACUGACUCUACACAACUAUUCCUGGCUCCCUGGAUUUUUUUAGCUCAGCUACUCACUCAUACGGAACUGCCUGUCCACCUGCCUCACCCUGCCUUGCUCCUCGAUACGUCCCUUUUGGCAGCCAACAUAAACAAACAGAGAAACAGUUUAGUCCCACAUGGCUGUUGAGACAAUAUCUCACCUGGUGGGAGAUUCUGCAACAUUAAAA